ACACGUAAACAACCUGCCUUCAGGAUGGGGACAACAGACGGAAACGACUGCUAAUACCGAAUAAGUUCCAAGAGCCGCAUGGCCCAUGGAAGAAAAGGUGGCCUCUACCUGUAAGCUAUCGCCUGAAGAGGGGUUUGCGUCUGAUUAGCUGGUUGGAGGGGGUAACGGCCCACCAAGGCGACGAUCAGUAGCCGGUCUGAGAGGAUGAACGGCCACACUGGAACUGAGACACGGUCCAGACUCCUACGGGAGGCAGCAUG
Molecule: ribosomal RNA, 260 nt
Filed under: uncultured bacterium
Lineage: Bacteria
Description: partial 16S ribosomal RNA
Rfam family: Bacterial small subunit ribosomal RNA
Source: RNAcentral